Non-coding RNA from Labrus mixtus (cuckoo wrasse), 447 nucleotides. The record is from the annotation of a RefSeq genome assembly. NCBI's taxonomy places the organism in Eukaryota, Metazoa, Chordata, Actinopteri, Labriformes, Labridae.
CAUCACAACAGAAAUCCUCGUCCUCAUCAUCAAAAACAUGACUUUGAUCUGCGUCCUCAUCUGGACUCUCCUCCUCUGCUGCUGCUUCACAGAGUCCAGAGGACAGGUCACAGUGACUCAGCCUGCAGCAGUGACCUCUGCUCUGGGAGCCUCCGUCUCCAUCUCAUGUAGGACCAGUCAGGAUGUUUAUGUCUAUAACAGCUACCACUAUUUAGCCUGGUACCAACAGAAAGAUGGAGGAACUCCUAAACUGCUUAUAUACCGUGCUAGCACUCGAGCAUCAGGGAUUCCAGAUCGUUUUUCAGGCAGUGGAUCAAACUCUGCCUUCACUCUGACCAUCAGUGGAGUCCAGACUGAAGAUGCAGCAGUUUACUACUGUCAGAGUUAUCACUAUAUCAACAGUCAGGUUGUGUUCACACAGUGAAAAAGUGUCGUACAAAAACCUCC